RNAcentral lists this transfer RNA (76 nucleotides) under Aeromonas media. Its description in RNAcentral is "tRNA-Ala". It matches the Rfam family "tRNA". Rfam says of the family: Transfer RNA (tRNA) molecules are approximately 80 nucleotides in length. Their secondary structure includes four short double-helical elements and three loops (D, anti-codon, and T loops). Lineage: Bacteria; Pseudomonadati; Pseudomonadota; Gammaproteobacteria; Aeromonadales; Aeromonadaceae. RNAcentral also lists the same sequence under 1 other name. The record is from RNAcentral.
GGGGUUAUAGCUCAGCUGGGAGAGCGCUUGCAUGGCAUGCAAGAGGCCCGCGGUUCGAUCCCGCGUAGCUCCACCA